This 461-nucleotide unclassified non-coding RNA is filed under the name Hevea brasiliensis (rubber tree). Lineage: Eukaryota; Viridiplantae; Streptophyta; Magnoliopsida; Malpighiales; Euphorbiaceae. The record is from RNAcentral.
AGUGGAGUUAGAGAAAACGAGAUUGUUGGUUUUGGAGGCAGCGGACCAGCUUGAUCGACUUGGGAAUAAGAAGGCCCGUGGGACUAUUGCAAUGGCCAAGGUAGCAGCUCCAAACAUGGCACUCAUGGUGCUUGACAUGGCAAUGCAAGUGCAUGGUGCAGCUGGUCUAUCAUCUGACACCGUUUUGUCACAUCUUUGGGCUACAGCUAGAACUUUGAGAAUUGCAGAUGGUCCUGACGAAGUCCACUUGGGUACCAUUGCCAAGUUGGAAUUGCAGAGAGCUAAGCUUUGAAAACUUUGGAGUAAUUAGCUCUUUUUUUUUUUAAUUAAUUGAAGAUAAAGAGGGCAAAAAAUAAGUUACAACAAAAAAAAAAAUCUGAUUUGAGAGAUAAAUGGUGGAUCUUUGUAAUUACUAAUAAGUUCCAAACAUUUCUUUGAUGUGUAAAAGAGAAGAAUAAUGG